GACGAACGCUGGCGGCGUGCUUAACACAUGCAAGUCGAACGGAAAGGCCCUGCUUUUGUGGGGUGCUCGAGUGGCGAACGGGUGAGUAACACGUGAGUAACCUGCCCUUGACUUUGGGAUAACUUCAGGAAACUGGGGCUAAUACCGGAUAGGAGCUCCUGCUGCAUGGUGGGGGUUGGAAAGUUUCGGCGGUUGGGGAUGGACUGGCGGCUUAUCAGCUUGUUGGUGGGGUAGUGGCUUACCAAGGCUUUGACGGGUAGCCGGCCUGAGAGGGUGACCGGCCACAUUGGGACUGAGAUACGGCCCAGACGCCAACGGGAGGCAGCAGUGGGGAAUAUUGCACAAUGGGCGGAAGCCUGAUGCAGCAGCGCCGCGUGCGGGAUGACGGCCUUCGGGUUGUAAACCGCUUUCGCCUGUGACGAAGCGUGAGUGACGGUAAUGGGUAAAGAAGCACCGGCUAACUACGUG
This 468-nucleotide ribosomal RNA is filed under the name uncultured bacterium. RNAcentral's name for it is "partial 16S ribosomal RNA". It matches the Rfam family "Bacterial small subunit ribosomal RNA", at positions 28 to 507 of the family's 1533-position model. The record is from RNAcentral.